UGGGGAAUAUUGGACAAUGGGCGCAAGCCUGAUCCAGCCAUGCCGCGUGAGUGACGAAGGCCUUAGGGUUGUAAAGCUCUUUUGGCGGGGAAGAUAAUGACGGUACCUGCAGAAUAAGCACCGGCUAACUACGUGCCAGCAGCCGCGGUAAUACGUAGGGUGCAAGCGUUAAUCGGAAUUACUGGGCGUAAAGCGUGCGCAGGCGGUUCGGAAAGAAAGAUGUGAAAUCCCAGAGCUUAACUUUGGAACUGCAUUUUUAACUACCGGGCUAGAGUGUGUCAGAGGGAGGUGGAAUUCCGCGUGUAGCAGUGAAAUGCGUAGAUAUGCGGAGGAACACCGAUGGCGAAGGCAGCCUCCUGGGAUAACACUGACGCUCAUGCACGAAAGCGUGGGGAGCAAACA
RNAcentral lists this ribosomal RNA (402 nucleotides) under uncultured bacterium. RNAcentral's name for it is "bacterial SSU rRNA". It matches the Rfam family "Bacterial small subunit ribosomal RNA", at positions 355 to 774 of the family's 1533-position model. The record is from RNAcentral.